UACGUAGGUGACAAGCGUUGUCCGGAUUUACUGGGCGUAAAGAGCGCGCAGGCGGUCGAUCAAGUCGAGUGUGAAAGCCCCCGGCUCAACUGGGGAGGGUCAUUCGAUACUGAUCGACUCGAAGGCAGGAGAGGGUAGUGGAAUUCCCGGUGUAGUGGUGAAAUUCGUAGAUAUUCGGAGGAACACCAGUGGCGAAGGCGGCUCACUGGCUCGAUACUGACGCUGAGGUGCGAAAGCGUGGGGAGCAAACAGG
Molecule: ribosomal RNA, 253 nt
Filed under: uncultured bacterium
Lineage: Bacteria
Description: partial 16S ribosomal RNA
Rfam family: Bacterial small subunit ribosomal RNA
Source: RNAcentral